RNAcentral lists this small nucleolar RNA (93 nucleotides) under Gouania willdenowi (blunt-snouted clingfish). RNAcentral describes it as "Small nucleolar RNA U83B (ENSGWIG00000024509.1)". It matches the Rfam family "Small nucleolar RNA U83B". From Rfam's summary of the family: U83B belongs to the C/D family of snoRNAs. U83B like U83A has no documented RNA target and they share the same host gene with the C/D box snoRNA U43 (RPL3). Lineage: Eukaryota; Metazoa; Chordata; Actinopteri; Blenniiformes; Gobiesocidae. The record is from Rfam by way of RNAcentral.
GGUUGUCUGUGAUGAGACCACGGAUCUCGCGUCAGGCAUGGCGUCCGACUCUUAUGAGGAUACGUUCCAUGCUGCCUUCCUUCUGAGACUUCC